UGAACGCUGGCGGUAUGCUUUACACAUGCAAGUCGAACGGGCUUGGGGGCUUGCUCCCGAGUUAGUGGCGAACGGGUGAGUAACAUAUCGGAACAUGUCCGGAAGUGGGGGAUAACGUACCGAAAGGUACGCUAAUACCGCAUAUGCCCUGAGGGGGAAAGGGGGGGAUCGCAAGACCUCUCGCUUUCGGAGUGGCCGAUAUCGGAUUAGCUAGAUGGUGAGGUAAAGGCUCACCAUGGCGACGAUCCGUAGCUGGUCUGAGAGGACGACCAGCCACACUGGAACUGAGACACGGUCCAGACUCCUACGGGAGGCAGCAGUGGGGAAUUUUGGACAAUGGGCGAAAGCCUGAUCCAGCCAUACCGCGUGAGUGAAGAAGGCCUUCGGGUUGUAAAGCUCUUUCAGCCGGAAAGAAAUUGCCUCUAUUAAUACUAGAGGUAGAUGACGGUACCGGAAGAAGAAGCACCGGCUAACUACGUGCCAGCAGCCGCGGUAAUACGUAGGGUGCGAGCGUUAAUCGGAAUUACUGGGCGUAAAGCGUGCGCAGGCGGUUUUUUAAGACAGAUGUGAAAUCCCCGGGCUUAACCUGGGAACUGCAUUUGUGACUGGAAGGCUAGAGUACGGCAGAGGGGGGUAGAAUUCCACGUGUAGCAGUGAAAUGCGUAGAUAUGUGGAGGAAUACCGAUGGCGAAGGCAGCCCCCUGGGUCGAUACUGACGCUCAUGCACGAAAGCGUGGGGAGCAAACAGGAUUAGAUACCCUGGUAGUCCACGCCCUAAACGAUGUCAACUAGGUGUUGGGGGAGGAGACUUCCUUAGUACCGCAGCUAACGCGUGAAGUGACCC
RNAcentral lists this ribosomal RNA (844 nucleotides) under uncultured bacterium. RNAcentral describes it as "bacterial SSU rRNA". It matches the Rfam family "Bacterial small subunit ribosomal RNA", at positions 30 to 870 of the family's 1533-position model. The record is from RNAcentral.